Molecule: long non-coding RNA, 406 nt
Filed under: Hordeum vulgare
Lineage: Eukaryota; Viridiplantae; Streptophyta; Magnoliopsida; Poales; Poaceae
Description: long non-coding RNA (HVUL_LNC017012)
Source: RNAcentral
CGGGUGAAUUGCUUGUUGCUGAAAAACUGCCGACUGCUGCUGGUGCUGAACAUAAGGACCCGAAUGCUGGAUGGCGUAAGGCUGCUGCAGAUUUCCGACAAAUUGUUGCUGGUACGGAAGCUGAUACAUCUGCAGCUGCUGCAGCGUCGGCUGGAAGAUCAUCUGUUGCUGUGUCGGUGCCAAGGGUCCCGGCGGCGGGAGCGAGAUUGAAGGCUGAACCGGUUGGUAGACCCCUGGCGCGAACCGAGGGGCACCAGCAGCCGGCGCAGAAACUGGCAGUUGGGUCGAAGAAGACGUGCUGGCAUGGGUGGCGGAGAGGCCAGGCGGCGCAGCCGGGUCGCCGCGCGUCAUUGGAGCACGUACAAUGGCCGUGAAGGAACGAGUGAACCUAGGGUUCAGUGCGUUC